UAGAUGAAAAUAUAGACAUGGUCUAGGUCAGAAAAAUCUGACAAAAAUACACCUUGACCUCGCAUGAAAAUUUUAAAAUCCAGAACUCAGCUACCAUAAUCCCACAACAAUGGUGAAUGGGGCAUACAUGCAAAGUCAUAGUUAUGAAUGACUGUCCAGUCUAUGUGAAGUCAUGCUUAUUUAAGUGGGUGAAGAGUUGAAGCAUGCAAAAUCUAAAGUUGUCAUCAAAACAUUUACAAAAAGAUCGCUUAUGAUUACAACUGACAAGUUUAUUACACUUAAAACAAAUGCUGCAGCUUUGAUUCAUUAGUCCAUCUGCAGGAGGGAGUGACGGAGGUUGAGGGUUCAUGCUACCAAAACCAUGAUCACUGGCCAUGUAUAAUGACUGUUAUACAUUGGAAUACUUCUAGUGUGCCGCAUUUCACUCUUCUUCAAUUAGGGAGACAUGCACAAGUUGUACCAUCACUGACAAUUUUGUUGAUGGCAUCCCUAAAUUUGUAGUAAUCAUCAACCUUGUUGUAGACUUGAUGAGAAAUCCGAGCAUACCCAGUAAUAGGAUCAACCUCUCCAUCUUUUGGAGCCCUAAAAUAUAUUGGGACUUCAACCCCAAAAUUAUUCCUCAAAUGAGUUCUCAACUUCAAAGCAUCCGACUCACUGUAAAUCCCCAAACAAACAGGUAAUCCAACCAUGACCUCCAAAAUUAUUUCUCAAAUGAGUCCUCAACUUCAAAGCAUCUGACUCACUCGAAAUCCUCAAACAAGCAGGUAAUCCAACCAUGAUCAUGCUCCCACACAUCUCUGGCGGGCACCCAAGAUGAGUCCCCCAUGCCUUAACCAACAUCUCCCCCAUUUCAACAACAGCCUCAUGAUUCCUCUUCUUGAUUCCGUCAAUCCCACCUGGAAAUCUAUUGAUGAAUUCCAAAACCGAAGGAACU
RNAcentral lists this unclassified non-coding RNA (934 nucleotides) under Hevea brasiliensis (rubber tree). The record is from RNAcentral. Lineage: Eukaryota; Viridiplantae; Streptophyta; Magnoliopsida; Malpighiales; Euphorbiaceae.